Felis catus (domestic cat) is the source of this 1836-nucleotide long non-coding RNA. RefSeq lists it as uncharacterized. Lineage: Eukaryota; Metazoa; Chordata; Mammalia; Carnivora; Felidae. The record is from RefSeq and is a predicted model, not a curated record. The transcript is spliced from 3 exons.
UGUUUUUUUUUUUUGAGUUUCAGUCCCACAUUGGGUGGAGAUUACUUAAAAAUCUUAAAAAGCAAAAAAAAAAAACCCAAAAAAACAAAAACGGAUACAUGGAUGGGAUGGAGAAACUGCUUUAAUAUAUAUAACAAAACCCCAACUAUAACAUUUUAUGUGUUACAGAAUGCCCAACUGUGAAUUAACUGCAUUCCAAGUUCCAGGACUUUGACUCAACAAUGAAAGAUACACAGAGGUGAAUUUCUCUACAGCAAAGUCUAUAAAGCGUUGUUUUACUAUUUUCCCUUAAAAUUAUGUUUAUUACAUGUAGAGAAAUGUAUUAUUGGUGAAGUAGAGCUGUCCAAUUUUUAAAUACCUAAAACAAGAAAUCUAACACUCAACUGUAGUAGUUGUCCUAAUGUUACACCAAAGAACAAACACACAAAAGGAGCUAACUCUAUAAAAAGAAUUCUAAACAGUCUCCCAGUAACAGAUACUACAGGUAAGAGCAGUCAGCUCAUGGAGGAACAGUUACAUGUUUUGUUUCUCCUUCGCAUUAAAUUCAGUUUCUUUAUAUAUUCUGAGCUGAAACAGUGAUGUGUUUUCAUGUGUUCUUACUAAAAGGAAAACUGCUUUAUCACAGGAAAGGUCAAAGGUGAUACUCUGCACAUACAAAGAGACCUUUUUCUAACCACAAAAGAGGACAGAAAGGGAUGUAAAACUCAUCUCUCCAACUUCAAAAGAAAGUAUGAAAUGGAUUACCAAGGAAAUUAGUCACUGAUCUUCCAAAGAUGAAACUAGAUGUUACAGUGAAAAGGAAUUACCCAUACUUUUAAGAAGCUUCAGAAUGAGUCAUGAAAAAGUAUUUUUAGAAGAUAUAAAUAUCACUGGAACAAGUGUGGAAAAUUCAUGCAAAGGCUUUAUUCACUGAACUAAUGAAUCCCCUGCACCAUGUGCCAGACUAUAUAUCAGAUCCAAAGAUACAAAGGUGUGCAUUCUCCUAUCAGGAUUAUGAGUAGCUUCCGGGGAUGCAAAUAAAUGAAGACAGAUUCAAACACCUUGUCUGACUCAGGAGGUGUACACGGAGCUUGUUUUGCCAGGCCUACAACUGAUGUGGCAGGGCUUUCUGUUUCUCUCUAUCCUCAAGUCUCUAACUCGACAUUUUGUGGCACGUGGCUGAGGCCUACGAGUAAGAUGACUGAGAAAGCCCCUGCCCACAAGGGCUCACUGCUGACCACGGAAGACACAGAAACAGGCUUGGGAAGCAAGAACUGUGCACUGCCUGAUACGAGCAAUUGCACAAUGGACCAAACGCUAUGGGAUAAUAGAAAAUACCAAGCAGAUGGGUAAGAAGUGUAUGUUUCAUAGAAAUGUAGGUACCACUCACUUUCAGGACUCUUCUCAACAGACCUAACAUUUAGAUGCUUAAAUACAAAAUGCCUGCAUAUUUAUGUAGCUCGGUUGACAUUAUUCCUUCUAUUUUACCUCCUGUAAAAUCUCUUCUGUUGACAACAAAAAUCACUUCUUGAAUAUCAAACAUAAAAUUUAAGAUUUAAAAUAUUUUCAUCUCAUUAUCUUUUAUAUCUGAAACUUUUACUGUUUCAUAGGAUUUAUUACUUUUCCUAUGCUAAAAAACAGAGCUGGAGAUAAAAAUAAUAAUUGGCUUGAAAAUACAUUUUUGCAAGUAAAUUGGAACUGAUUUUCUAUUCUGGAAAUUCAGAACACUUUACACAAAAAUUAGUCAAAUGGUGAAAUCCUCCCUCUGGAAUUAAAAGUUGUUCAGUUUCUGUCAUUUACACUGUGCUUGUAACUUCUUCUCUACUUUAGGAGGGAAAUAAACAGAAAAAGCUCUCA